RNAcentral lists this ribosomal RNA (601 nucleotides) under Clostridium beijerinckii. RNAcentral describes it as "bacterial SSU rRNA". It matches the Rfam family "Bacterial small subunit ribosomal RNA", at positions 866 to 1469 of the family's 1533-position model. Lineage: Bacteria; Bacillati; Bacillota; Clostridia; Eubacteriales; Clostridiaceae. The record is from RNAcentral.
AUUCCGCCUGGGGAGUACGGUCGCAAGAUUAAAACUCAAAGGAAUUGACGGGGGCCCGCACAAGCAGCGGAGCAUGUGGUUUAAUUAGAAGCAACGCGAAGAACCUUACCUAGACUUGACAUCUCCUGAAUUACCCUUAAUGGGGGAAGCCCUUCGGGGCAGGAAGACAGGUGGUGCAUGGUUGUCGUCAGCUCGUGUCGUGAGAUGUUGGGUUAAGUCCCGCAACGAGCGCAACCCUUAUUGUUAGUUGCUACCAUUUAGUUGAGCACUCUAGCGAGACUGCCCGGGUUAACCGGGAGGAAGGUGGGGAUGACGUCAAAUCAUCAUGCCCCUUAUGUCUAGGGCUACACACGUGCUACAAUGGCUGGUACAGAGAGAUGCUAAACCGUGAGGUGGAGCCAAACUUUAAAACCAGUCUCAGUUCGGAUUGUAGGCUGAAACUCGCCUACAUGAAGCUGGAGUUGCUAGUAAUCGCGAAUCAGAAUGUCGCGGUGAAUACGUUCCCGGGCCUUGUACACACCGCCCGUCACACCAUGAGAGUUGGCAAUACCCAAAGUUCGUGAGCUAACGCGCAAGCGAGGCAGCGACCUAAGGUAGGGUC